RNAcentral lists this ribosomal RNA (486 nucleotides) under uncultured bacterium. RNAcentral's name for it is "bacterial SSU rRNA". It matches the Rfam family "Bacterial small subunit ribosomal RNA", at positions 15 to 518 of the family's 1533-position model. The record is from RNAcentral.
GAUCAUGGCUCAGGACAAACGCUGGCGGUGUGCCUCAUACAUGCAAGUCGAACGAGAAACUGGAGCUUGCUUCAGUGGAAAGUGGCGGACGGGUGAGUAAUAUGUAGGAAAUCUGCCCUAGAGAGGGGGACAACAGAGGGAAACUUCUGCUAAUACCCCAUAUGAGCUUGGUUGAAAUACCAAUCUUGAAAACUCCGGUGCUCUAGGAUGAGCCUGCAUCUGAUUAGCUAGUUGGUGGUGUAAUGGACCACAAAGGCGACGAUCAGUAGCUGGUUUGAGAGGAUGAUCAGCCACAAUGGGACUGAGACACGGCCCAUACUCCUACGGGAGGCAGCAGUAGGGAAUUUUGCGCAAUGGGGGAAACCCUGAACCGCAGCAACACCGCGUGAAUGUUAAGCCCUUCGGGGUAUAAAGUUCUGUCAAUGGGGAAGAAUAAAUGACUGUACCCAUAAAGGAAGCACCGGCUAACUCCGUGCCAGCAGCUGC